GCCCCUGCUAUUUCUGCAGCAAUUCGCACCCGAUGAUCCCACGAUAAUAUUAUUGCUGGGUGCGGAAGAAUCUGAUCAUCCAACUCAGACUUUGAGACAGAAGGGUUAGAACUGUGACUGAGGUUUCCAUGAAUAUGGGAUGACAAGGUUCCAUUCGAGAUGUACUCAUAAACUAAUAAUGGGACUUGAGUUUCUAAGCAACAACCAAGUACCUGUUGUAAACAGUAAACUUAAAUGUUAAAAGUGUGAUCAAGUGCUAGGUUCAAUUGUAUUUUGAGUUAUCUUUGGUUCAUGAGUGACUAAUGAGUUAUCCUAAACUGUUCGCUUAUUAUGGUUGAAGCGAAUAGGAACACGAGUUGAUGUAGUAGCUCAGUGUGUGCGACUGCGUGUGUGUGUAAGUCUAGUGUGUUAUUUUGUAAGAGUAUAGGAGUCUUUCUAAUAUUAUAAGUUCAGUGUGUUAUUUUGUAAGAGUAUAGGAAUCUUUCUAAUAUUAUAAGUUCUCUCUUCAAUCCUCUUUAGGCAUUAUAAAUUUCUCUAUCGUCGAAUUGUGUUGCUCUCUUCUUCCAUUCAUAAUAAAAUGGUAGCAGGAGCCUAGUACAAAAAUCAACAGUACCUUGACAAUGUGUCUGUGAUUUAUUUGGGAGAGUAUGAGUAUCUCAUUUAUAAACUGUCCAAUUUGAUCUUUAUCCACUGCAUUGGACUUCUUCACAGCUACAAUGCUUCCAUCUGAUAACAUUCCUUUGUAAACAGUCCCAGCCCCUCCUUUACCAAGAAUUCGAAUUUCAUUGAAAUUGUCUGUUGCUUUCUCCAACUCCUCCUUCAAAAAGAGCUUUGGCAAAGAGCCACCACUACUUUCUCCAUUUAAGGAAAUACGUUGUCGCAAAAGCAAUCCACCAUUCCUCUUGAAAUACUUUUGCUUAGCUUUGUUUUCUUCCCUCUUCCGGAGCCAUUUGCAUAGCCAAAGACAAACUGCUACCAGGAUCACAAAAAUAAUUGCUGCUCCAAUACCUGCUUGUGAGCAAACCAAUUUCAUCUAAAACAAGCAUAAAUUCAUUUUGAGAAUCUAAGAGAAAGAGCUUUAAAUGCUUAUCCAGGCCCCUUUGUAAUUUUAAAGCAUAUAUUAAGUUGAACUUCUAAGUUUCUAAAGAGCAGUUAGCUAGAAUAAACAUGAAUAGGAUUAUGAAUCAUUUGUUGGGACAGUUCAAAAGGAGUAAUUUGUGUCAAAUAAAAAUUUAUAGAAAGCUUAAGUUAAUCUAACAAAGAAACAAGAGGAGAAAAAAGAAGACAAAGAAGAGAGUUAUACAAUACCGAUGGAGAGUUGUUUAGCUAGCAUAUGUCUCACAUUAUUUGAGUCACAAUGGUAAGUGCCAAGAGUAUUAACACAGCGAGUAUUGUUGGGACAAGGAUUCCUUUUUGGACUGGCACACUCAUCGAUGUCUGUGAAAAUUAACAAGAAGUCAUCAUAAAAACUGACAUUAGUAACUUAGAAAAUAAGUCAUGUUACAUGCUAAAAACAAGUUAAAAUAAAGGGGUACAGUGGGAUAUUGUUAUAUUGUUACUCUCUUUGUUUCAUUUUAUGUCUUAGUUUGAUUUUGCACUAAAUUUAAAAACCUAAAGAAUACUUUUGGAUCUUGUGUUGAACAAAAGGUGCCUAUAACACACUAAGGGGUCAUUUGGUAGAUUCAGUGUUUAGGGGAGCGCAAAGCGGUAAAAAGCGACAAGGCCCCACUUCAUGCUUUAAGCGAAGCGUGAAGCGAAGCACUCGCUUCAUUGAAGUGAAGCACAAUUUAAAAGAAAAAAGACCAAAAUAAAUAGACAAAAUUUAUAAGCAAAAAUUCAUAUUAAAAUACUAGAAAACAGACAUACAAUUGUUGUCCUAUUGGUCUCACUUUUUUCCCAUAUUUUCAUGUUGGGCCAGCCAUUUUUAAUCGCGGAUAAGAUUUAAGAAAACUAAUCAACAUUAUAUUUUUAUCACUAUUAAGAAAAAAUUCAACAACAUUUUAGUCAUUGUUAAGAAACAAAACAAUUUAGCGAUGUAUAUUUUAAUCACUGUGAGGAAAAAAAUUAAGCAACAUAUAAUUUAAAUAAUCAAAGCUAAACAGGGCAAAGGAAAACAGAAUAACGAACAAAGUGGAAAAAAAAUAAAAAUAUCCUAGGCUAGUUGUAGUAGUAGUAGUAGUAAGAAGAAGAAGAGGAAGAACUAGGUAAGUCAUGCCUAUUUUUAUUCUUUAAAAUCGAUCACUUAUUACUUAGAAAAAAUAAAAGCGUUGCUUUUCUCGCUUCACCGCUUCUGGUCGCAUUGCGCUUCAAGCCUAGAAGCGGUCGCUUCUUUUCACAUGCCUCGCUUCAGCCAACUGAAGCGCUGAACCCUCGCUUCACCGCUUAAAGCAAUGAAGCGCUCGCUUUCCUGAACACUGGGUAGAUUGUAUUAGGAAAAAUAGUUCAUGUAUUAUGUAUAGUAUUAUAUAGUACUAUGUUUGGUGGGAAUUUUGGGCCUAUUUAUAAUUAAUGCAUGUAUUAGUUAUACAUGUUAUAUGGUAUUAUUAUAGGGUGUAUAACUAAUACCUUCCAUUUGGUGGUAUUAAUACAUAGGAUUUAAUACCAUGGUUCAUUAUAUGUAAAGACAAAAAUACCCGUCAAAUCCUUUUAAUCAUUUUUGUUUACUUUCUUGAUUUUAUGUUUUAUAUUUGUACUAGUAAAUUUAUUUAAAUAAAUUAGCUUACAAAUUUUAUUAUUUAGAGAGAGUUGUUUGUUGCUAAAUAAAUCUAAUACAAAUCAUUAAAUCAAUACAAUAUUUGAAAUGUGAGUUGUUCAACAUUUACUAAUUCAAAAGGCAAAAUAUAUGGCCACAUGACAUUUAUGAUCUUAAUUGAAUGUAUUACUUAUUGAUAUAUAUGUGGUUUUAUGAUUAUUUGUAUUUUGAACAAUUUAUAAAAUUACAUACAUAUUAAAACUAUAACUUGCCAUUUUGUGUGUAAAAAUAGAUGGUUUAUUCGAUAUUUUAGUAUUGUUUACCGUCUUUUCGGUUUUGAAAGUAGAUGGUCUAUCUUUUUUGAAUUAAAAAUUGACGAUUUGUGAGUGAUCAAUUUAUUAAGGGUUAGAACUGUGACUGAGGUUUCCAUGAACAUGGGAUGACAAGGUUCCAUUCGAGAUGUACUCAUAAACUAAUAAUGGGACUUGAGUUUCUAAGCAACAACCAAGUACCUGUUGUAAACCGUAAACUUAAAUGUUAAAAGUGUGAUCAAGUGCUAGGUUCGAUUCUUGCUAACUUUAAGUUUUUAACAUCAUUUUUUGUUAGUCAAAACUCACUAAAUAUUUUGUUGGUUACUUUUUAAAAUUUUGCACACCCUUCAUAAAAUGUCUGGCUCCGCCACUGUGCAAGUCUAGUGUGUUAUUUUGUAAGAGUAUAGGAGUCUUUCUAAUAUUAUAAGUUCGCUCUUCAAUCCUCUUUAGGCAUUAUAAAUUUCUCUAUCGUCGAAUUGUGUUGCUCUCUUCUUCCAUUCAUAAUAAAAU
This 3513-nucleotide long non-coding RNA is filed under the name Solanum tuberosum (potato). RNAcentral's name for it is "long non-coding RNA (STUB_LNC006979)". Lineage: Eukaryota; Viridiplantae; Streptophyta; Magnoliopsida; Solanales; Solanaceae. The record is from RNAcentral.